GACGAACGCUGGCGGCGUGCUUAACACAUGCAAGUCGAACGGAAAGGCCCUGCUUUUGUGGGGUGCUCGAGUGGCGAACGGGUGCGUAACACGUGAGUAACCUGCCCUUGACUUUGGGAUAACUUCAGGAAACUGGGGCUAAUACUGGAUAGGAGCUCCUGCUGCAUGGUGGGGGUUGGAAAGUUUCGGCGGUUGGGGGUGGACUCGCGGCUUAUCAGCUUGUUGGUGGGGUAGUGGCUUACCAAGGCUUUGACGGGUAGCCGGCCUGAGAGGGUGACCGGCCACAUUGGGCCUGCGAUACAGCCCAGACUCCUACGGGAGGCAGCAGUGGGGAAUAUUGCCCAAUGGGCGGACGCCUGAUGCAGCAACGCCGCGUGCGUGAUGACGGCCUUCGGGUUGUAAACCGCUUUAGCCUGUGACGAAGCGUGAGUGACGGUAAUGGGUAAAGAAGCACCGGCUAACUACGUG
Molecule: ribosomal RNA, 468 nt
Filed under: uncultured bacterium
Lineage: Bacteria
Description: partial 16S ribosomal RNA
Rfam family: Bacterial small subunit ribosomal RNA
Source: RNAcentral